AGGCAGCAUGGGGAAUAUUGCACAAUGGGGGAAACCCUGAUGCAGCCAUGCCGCGUGUGUGAAGAAGGCCUUCGGGUUGUAAAGCACUUUCAGUAGGGAGGAAGGUAGUGUAGUUAACACCUGCAUUAUUUGACGUUACCUACAGAAGAAGCACCGGCUAACUCCGUGCCAGCAGCCGCGGUAAUACGGAGGGUGCGAGCGUUAAUCGGAAUUACUGGGCGUAAAGCGCAUGCAGGCGGCCUGUUAAGUCAGAUGUGAAAGCCCGGGGCUUAACCUCGGAAUUGCAUUUGAAACUGGCAGGCUAGAGUCUUGUAGAGGGGGGUAGGAAUUUCAGGUGUAGCGGUGAAAUGCGUAGAGAUCUGAAGGAAUACCAGUGGCGAAGGCGGCCCCCUGGACAAAGACUGACGCUCAGAUGCGAAAGCGUGGGGAGCAAACAGGAUUAGAUACCCCUGGUAG
This 456-nucleotide ribosomal RNA is filed under the name uncultured bacterium. Its description in RNAcentral is "bacterial SSU rRNA". It matches the Rfam family "Bacterial small subunit ribosomal RNA", at positions 346 to 793 of the family's 1533-position model. The record is from RNAcentral.